AGGUGUGGGGUCUGUUUCCACGGANUCCGCGCCGUAGCUAACGCAUUAAGUGCCCCGCCUGGGGAGUACGGCCGCAAGGCUAAAACUCAAAGGAAUUGACGGGGGCCCGCACAAGCGGCGGAGCAUGCGGAUUAAUUCGAUGCAACGCGAAGAACCUUACCAAGGCUUGACAUACUUGAGAAGCCGCCAGAGAUGGUGGUCUCUUUGGACACUCAUGUACAGGUGGUGCAUGGUUGUCGUCAGCUCGUGUCGUGAGAUGUUGGGUUAAGUCCCGCAACGAGCGCAACCCUCGUCCUAUGUUGCCAGCACGUGAUGGUGGGGACUCAUAGGAGACUGCCGGGGUCAACUCGGAGGAAGGUGGGGAUGACGUCAAAUCAUCAUGCCCCUUAUGUCUUGGGCUUCACGCAUGCUACAAUGGCCGGUACAAAGGGCUGCGAUACCGCGAGGUGGAGCGAAUCCCAGAAAGCCGGUCUCAGUUCGGAUUGGGGUCUGCAACUCGACCCCAUGAAGUCGGAGUCGCUAGUAAUCGCAGAUCAGCAAUGCUGCGGUGAAUACGUUCUCGGGCCUUGUACACACCGCCCGUCAAGUCAUGAAAGUCGGUAACACCCGAAGCCAGUGGCCCAACCUCU
RNAcentral lists this ribosomal RNA (629 nucleotides) under Serinibacter sp. Its description in RNAcentral is "bacterial SSU rRNA". It matches the Rfam family "Bacterial small subunit ribosomal RNA", at positions 818 to 1443 of the family's 1533-position model. Lineage: Bacteria; Bacillati; Actinomycetota; Actinomycetes; Micrococcales; Beutenbergiaceae. The record is from RNAcentral.